UUGCAGUGAUGAUCUUAGGACACCGUUUAGAUGUUAACCAUGAAAAAUAACCAGUCUGAGCAAC
This is a small nucleolar RNA of Hemiscyllium ocellatum (epaulette shark), 64 nucleotides long. RefSeq annotates it as small nucleolar RNA SNORD58. The transcript has a single exon. The record is from RefSeq and is a predicted model, not a curated record. Lineage: Eukaryota; Metazoa; Chordata; Chondrichthyes; Orectolobiformes; Hemiscylliidae.